UCGAGGAUCUUCGGCAAUGGGCGAAAGCCUGACCGAGCGACGCCGCGUGUGCGAUGAAGGCCUUCGGGUUGUAAAGCACUGUCGAGGGGGAGAAAAGGGUUAAACCUUGAUCUAUCCCUGGAGGAAGCACGGGCUAAGUUCGUGCCAGCAGCCGCGGUAAGACGAACCGUGCGAACGUUAUUCGGAAUCACUGGGCUUAAAGGGCGCGUAGGCGGGUUGCCAAGUCUGUGGCGAAAUCCUCCGGCUCAACCGGAGAACGGCCGUGGAUACUGGCGACCUCGAGGGGGGUAGGGGCUUGCGGAACUGUGCGUGGAGCGGUGAAAUGCGUUGAUAUGCACAGGAACUCCGGUGGCGAAGGCGGCGAGCUGGACCCUUUCUGACGCUGAGGCGCGAAAGCCAGGGGAGCGAACGG
Molecule: ribosomal RNA, 412 nt
Filed under: uncultured bacterium
Lineage: Bacteria
Description: bacterial SSU rRNA
Rfam family: Bacterial small subunit ribosomal RNA
Source: RNAcentral